RNAcentral lists this ribosomal RNA (497 nucleotides) under uncultured Glomeromycotina. Its description in RNAcentral is "partial small subunit ribosomal RNA". It matches the Rfam family "Eukaryotic small subunit ribosomal RNA", at positions 591 to 1091 of the family's 1831-position model. The record is from RNAcentral. Lineage: Eukaryota; Fungi; Glomeromycota.
CCAAUAGCGUAUAUUAAAGUUGUUGCAGUUAAAAAGCUCGUAGUUGAAUUUCGGGAUCAGUUCGCUGGUCGUGCCUCUGGUAUGUACUGGUGUUACUGGUUCCUCCCUUCUGACGAACUGUCAUGUCAUUUAUUUGGUGUGGCAGGGAAUCAGGACUGUUACUUUGAAAAAAUUAGAGUGUUUAAAGCAGGCUCGCGCUUGAAUACAUUAGCAUGGAAUAAUGAAAUAGGACGUUCGAUCCUAUUUUGUUGGUUUCUAGGAUUGACGUAAUGAUUAAUAGGGAUAGUUGGGUGCAUUAGUAUUCAAUUGUCAGAGGUGAAAUUCUUGGAUUUAUUGAAGACUAACUACUGCGAAAGCAUUUGCCAAGGAUGUUUUCAUUAAUCAAGAACGAAAGUUAGGGGAUCGAAGACGAUCAGAUACCGUCGUAGUCUUAACCAUGAACUAUGCCGACUAGGGAUCGGAUGAUGUUAUUUUUAAUGACUCAUUCGGCGCCUUAC